GUAAGGAAAAUAUUUAGUAAAGCAACAGAUAGUGAUUUUUAAUCAGAGCAAAUACAACGUCAAAGUAGUGAUAUUCAAAUCGCAUCGCAAGAAACAGAAAAAUGUUUAAACUGAAAUCUGUUGCUAAAAUGGCGCUAACUUUUGUUGCCAGCGUUGUGUACUUCAGUUUGAGUGUUUACGCUAUAAAUCGAAAGGUUUUGCUAACGGAUGGUAAAUAAAGAGAAUUCACCGACAAUUUCCCGUACCUGUAAGAGACAACUGCUCCGAGAAAAGACAAUGAAGUGAAGGGUUUGAAGAGAAUAUACUAAGUAUAUGUGUAUUAAAAAAAAAAAACAAUAAUAAGCGGGUAUUAAGCAACGAAAAAUAAUUAUAACAAAGCAUACAGAUUUAUACAUACAUAUAAUGUAAUACAUACACAGACAAAUAAAUUUAUGGUGUGGGUAAUGACUAAAUAAGCAGCAAAUAAUAACGUCUUGGCGUCCUUAAAUGA
Molecule: long non-coding RNA, 490 nt
Organism: Ceratitis capitata (Mediterranean fruit fly)
Lineage: Eukaryota; Metazoa; Arthropoda; Insecta; Diptera; Tephritidae
Exons: 2
Source: RefSeq, a predicted model, not a curated record